CAACACUACUAUAUAACAAAUAAUUUGAGUAGAUUGAAUGGUAAAUAUGAGCUCUACUGUAUUAAAACACAAACGUGCAACAUUGGAACGAUUAGAAAAAUACAUUUCUGAGAUCUACUUUACAGAUGUCAAUUUAUUUGGAAGAGUGGAUUCCAAAAUCCCACAUUGUAAGCUGUAUCGUUCCCUAGCAAGAAAACAAACUUACCAGGCUUUUGAAAGUGUGAAAAAUGGAGUAUUCCAACUUAUAACUGAAGGGGAAGAGUUUAAACCAUUAUGGUCUCAACACUGGGUAAAAGUGAUCAUUCCUGCCAAUGUGUGUAACAUGGAAAAUGUCUACCUCCAUUGGGACGUUAGUGGAGCUGAGUCACUUGUAUGUGAUAAAGAUGGCAACCUAAUUCAG
Long non-coding RNA from Bolinopsis microptera, 400 nucleotides. RefSeq lists it as uncharacterized. The record is from RefSeq and is a predicted model, not a curated record. The transcript has 4 exons. Lineage: Eukaryota; Metazoa; Ctenophora; Tentaculata; Lobata; Bolinopsidae.